AACGAGAGUGAGAACUGAAUGCGAGACUAAGGCAAAAUCUGAUGGAGGUCACAUAUGAAAAUUGUACAUAAACUUAGCAAAACUAAGUAGAAGGCACAACUAAAGAAAGCACAACGAUAUCAAAUUGAGGCUCAUUGAUCGUGAUAAAUGUGAUGGCGCCGAAGGUUGAGAAUAUCCCAAAGCUCAUACGCAAAAGAUAUGAAGACGGUGAAAUUGUGACGGUGAUGGCAAUGAUGGCGAGGUAUGACAAUAGUAACUAUGGUUGAAAUGUAAUGAUGGUGUGACGGCGAAGUUGAG
This 297-nucleotide long non-coding RNA is filed under the name Cicer arietinum (chickpea). RNAcentral's name for it is "long non-coding RNA (CARI_LNC000955)". Lineage: Eukaryota; Viridiplantae; Streptophyta; Magnoliopsida; Fabales; Fabaceae. The record is from RNAcentral.